Molecule: long non-coding RNA, 1483 nt
Organism: Nerophis lumbriciformis (worm pipefish)
Lineage: Eukaryota; Metazoa; Chordata; Actinopteri; Syngnathiformes; Syngnathidae
Source: RefSeq, a predicted model, not a curated record
CUGAACCCCUCUCGUGCAUGCGCCUGCUUCACCUCACCAGACCUGGUACGUUGUCGCUACUUAGUCCUGAAUUCCCUAACCUCUUCUGUGUUUAUUUCCUAACCCCCCUGAGGUAAAAGGAAUUAUUUUGUUGGACUCUUGCCCUGCUCAGUGCGCCCUGGCCUUUUCUCCUGCCGACCUCUGAGGAACCUAUUUUGUCCAGGUUGCAUGGUGUGCGCUUCUGCCCCAUCGCCCUUUUUGUCUAAUUACAUUUUUUCAUUUUUGUAAUUCCACCUUGUCUCCCGUCUCUGCAUCCUGGGGUCACCCCCCCUUGACCAAGACCUUAACAGAAUCUUUCAUAUUUCACCUGCAUUUUCCACCAGGGAACUAUCAUUUCAUCUUCUCCAGCUCGUUAAGGACUUUACCAUUCUCACCAAGCUGGUCAGUCAGGUCAGAGAUCUCCUCUACAAAUCACAUUUCAAAAUCAGAUUCAGGACCUCAAGUUGCUCGAAGGCUUCUUCAUAAGAGUUCUUUACUUUGAAGAGUUCUGUGCCUAGGGAGCGGCACUCCUUCUGCGAUCCUUCCAGCUCAGCCUGGCACUCUUCAUACUUCAGUUUUGACUCGGACAGAAUCUAAAAACAUGAUUUUAAUUGUUGCUUCCUGUCUGAAAUUCACCAAACUACUUAUCCAUGCAUUUUAACUAGGGAUGUAACGGUAUUGUAGAUAGUUUCAAAAUCCUCACAAUAAUGCAAACUAAAACUUGAUAGGUGUAGUUUUAUUCUGGCGCUUUUGCAUCGGCCAGUCUGAAAAUAAAUUACACCUCGUACAAUUCUCGGCACAGCGCGGGACCGGCAAGGUGUGGGUGUGGCACACCGUAAAGGGGAGGAAAGGAAGAUGCAUGUGUGAGAAGUUUGUUCGUAGUAGAUAUGAGGAAUUGUUUUUUAUGGACAUUUGCAGAACAUUUGAUCAAAAUCCAUCCAUAACUUUGUUGAGUUAUGUUGCCAACAGACAAAAAAAACCCUGGCGAAAACAUUACCUCUUUGGCGGAGGUCUGCGUACUAAAGCGCUACCUUCGUCUCGAGCAUUUCCAAAGCGACAUAACGGAUCACGGUGCACCACCGCGGAGAGAAAGCGUGCGGUAGGAGCGCGGACUCUGCACACCGCGGGUAAUAUGAGAAGCUACUUGAUAAGCUGUCACCCGGAAAAUAUAUUCAAAACCAGCUAAGCUAAACAUCGAUUUUUGAGGUAUUUACAUUAUCAAAAGUUAAAUUGUCAGUUGACUUUUCUGAGAAACAUCAUAAAAAAAAUGUCAACUGCAGAAGAGACCGCUUCUUAGAAAGUAAAAGAUAAACACUUGUUUUACACCGGAUGUUUUAUAUUGUCAUUUGAUGGACACUCAACUGUAAUAAUUUGUAAUAUUUGCUUGAAACAGUGGAUGUUCCUGCACUAUUCUUUGCACUUAAAAUACAUGUUUGCAGUAAUAAAUAUGAAUAGAACAAAGAAA